This 501-nucleotide ribosomal RNA is filed under the name uncultured bacterium. Its description in RNAcentral is "partial 16S ribosomal RNA". It matches the Rfam family "Bacterial small subunit ribosomal RNA", at positions 30 to 523 of the family's 1533-position model. The record is from RNAcentral.
AUUGAACGCUGGCGGCAGGCUUAACACAUGCAAGUCGAGCGGGGGAAGGUAGCUUGCUACCGGACCUAGCGGCGGACGGGUGAGUAAUGCUUAGGAAUCUGCCUAUUAGUGGGGGACAACAUCUCGAAAGGGAUGCUAAUACCGCAUACGUCCUACGGGAGAAAGCAGGGGAUCUUCGGACCUUGCGCUAAUAGAUGAGCCUAAGUCGGAUUAGCUAGUUGGUGGGGUAAAGGCCUACCAAGGCGACGAUCUGUAGCGGGUCUGAGAGGAUGAUCCGACACACUGGGACUGAGACACGGACCAGACGCCUACGGGAGGCAGCAGUGGGGAAUAUUGGACAAUGGGGGGAACCCUGAUCCAGCCAUGCCGCGUGUGUGAAGAAGGCCUUAUGGUUGUAAAGCACUUUAAGCGAGGAGGAGGCUACUCUAGUUAAUACCUAGGGAUAGUGGACGUUACUCGCAGAAUAAGCACCGGCUAACUCUGUGCCAGCAGCCGCCGUAA